GCUCACAUAGCUCAGUCGGCAGAGCGCGUCCUUGGUAAGGACGAGGUCAUCGGUUCGAACCCGAUUGUGAGCACCA
This 76-nucleotide transfer RNA is filed under the name Gammaproteobacteria bacterium. Its description in RNAcentral is "tRNA-Thr". It matches the Rfam family "tRNA". From Rfam's summary of the family: Transfer RNA (tRNA) molecules are approximately 80 nucleotides in length. Their secondary structure includes four short double-helical elements and three loops (D, anti-codon, and T loops). Lineage: Bacteria; Pseudomonadati; Pseudomonadota; Gammaproteobacteria. The record is from RNAcentral. RNAcentral also lists the same sequence under 1 other name.